UGGGGAAUCUUGGACAAUGGGGGCAACCCUGAUCCAGCCAUGCCGCGUGAGUGAUGAAGGCCUUAGGGUCGUAAAGCUCUUUCGCCUGUGAAGAUAAUGACGGUAGCAGGUAAAGAAACCCCGGCUAACUCCGUGCCAGCAGCCGCGGUAAUACGGAGGGGGUUAGCGUUGUUCGGAAUUACUGGGCGUAAAGCGCACGUAGGCGGACCAGAAAGUUGGGGGUGAAAUCCCGGGGGCUCAACCCCGGAACUGCCUCCAAAACUAUUGGUCUAGAGUUCGAGAGAGGUGAGUGGAAUUCCAAGUGUAGAGGUGAAAUUCGUAGAUAUUUGGAGGAACACCAGUGGCGAAGGCGGCUCACUGGCUCGAUACUGACGCUGAGGUGCGAAAGUGUGGGGAGCAAAACAGGAUUAGAUACCCCUGGUAGUCCACACCGUAAAACGAUGAAUGCCAGUCGUCGGGUAGCAUGCUAUUCGGUGACACACCUAACGGAUUAAGCAUUCCGCCUGGGGAG
RNAcentral lists this ribosomal RNA (511 nucleotides) under uncultured bacterium. RNAcentral describes it as "bacterial SSU rRNA". It matches the Rfam family "Bacterial small subunit ribosomal RNA", at positions 355 to 880 of the family's 1533-position model. The record is from RNAcentral.